GGCCUCGUAGUUCAACGGAUAGAACGGAAGUUUCCUAAACUUCAAAUAUGGGUUCGAUUCCCGUCGGGGCUA
Molecule: transfer RNA, 72 nt
Organism: Porphyromonas sp.
Lineage: Bacteria; Pseudomonadati; Bacteroidota; Bacteroidia; Bacteroidales; Porphyromonadaceae
Rfam family: tRNA
About the family: Transfer RNA (tRNA) molecules are approximately 80 nucleotides in length. Their secondary structure includes four short double-helical elements and three loops (D, anti-codon, and T loops). Further hydrogen bonds mediate the characteristic L-shaped molecular structure. tRNAs have two regions of fundamental functional importance: the anti-codon, which is responsible for specific mRNA codon recognition, and the 3' end, to which the tRNAs corresponding amino acid is attached (by aminoacyl-tRNA synthetases). tRNAs cope with the degeneracy of the genetic code in two manners: having more than one tRNA (with a specific anti-codon) for a particular amino acid; and 'wobble' base-pairing, i.e. permitting non-standard base-pairing at the 3rd anti-codon position.
Source: Rfam